CCUACGGGAGGCAGCAGUAGGGAAUCUUCCGCAAUGGACGAAAGUCUGACGGAGCAACGCCGCGUGAGUGAUGAAGGUUUUCGGAUCGUAAAACUCUGUUGUUAGGGAAGAACAAGUUGGGUAGUAACUGACCCAACCUUGACGGUACCUAACCCGAAAGCCACGGCUAACUACGUGCCAGCAGCCGCGGUAAUACGUGCCUGCAGCCGCGGUAAUACGUAGGUGCCAGCAGCCGCGGUAAUACGUAGGUGCCAGCAGCCGCGGUAAUACGUAGGUGCCAGCAGCCGCGGUAAUACGUAGGUGCCAGCAGCCGGGUAAU
This 319-nucleotide ribosomal RNA is filed under the name uncultured Oceanobacillus sp. Its description in RNAcentral is "bacterial SSU rRNA". The stretch from base 1 to 229 matches the Rfam family "Bacterial small subunit ribosomal RNA", at positions 338 to 537 of the family's 1533-position model. The record is from RNAcentral. Lineage: Bacteria; Bacillati; Bacillota; Bacilli; Caryophanales; Bacillaceae.